Molecule: ribosomal RNA, 468 nt
Filed under: uncultured bacterium
Lineage: Bacteria
Description: partial 16S ribosomal RNA
Rfam family: Bacterial small subunit ribosomal RNA
Source: RNAcentral
GACGAACGCUGGCGGCGUGCUUAACACAUGCAAGUCGAACGGAAAGGCCCUGCUUUUGUGGGGUGCUCGAGUGGCGAACGGGUGAGUAACACGUGAGUAACCUGCCCUUGACUUUGGGAUAACUUCAGGAAACUGGGGCUAAUACCGGAUAGGAGCUCCUGCUGCAUGGUGGUGGUUGGAAAGUUUCCGCGGUUGGGGAUGUACUCGCGGCUUAUCAGCUUGUUGGUGGGGUAGUGGCUUACCAAGGCUUUGACGGGUAGCCGGCCUGAGAGGGUGACCGGCCACAUUGGGACUGAGGUACGGGCCAGAGUCCUACGGGAGGCAGCAGUGGGAAAUAUUGCACGAUGGGCGGAAGCCUGAUGCAGCAACGCCGCGUGCGGGAUGACGGCCUUCGGGUUGUAAACCGCUUUCGCCUGUGACGAAGCGUGAGUGACGGUAAUGGGUAAAGAAGCACCGGCUAACUACGUG